AAACAACUGGAAGGUCCCAUGGCAGCAAGUAGAGGAAAUACAGGAAAUACAAGAGCUACUUACAUCUACAUUUGCACAGAUUCAGCAUGUUUUUCGCGAAGCUAAUAAAUUAACGGAUAAAUUGGCAAAUGAAGCAUGUGAGCAAAUGAAUGCAAUACAAAUUUACAUAUUUCAACAGCUAUCAGUGGAAUGUAGAGGAAUUGUGAAUAUGGAUAAAGCAGAAAUCCCCUCACUAAGGAUUAAAACAAGGAAGAUAACAGUCCAUGAAACACAUCAAGGGAGGGAGCAAGAAAUUAGCAGCAGAGCAUAGUUAUGCGAGAUUUGAAGAAGGAUUGCUGAGUUGGUUGACAGAUUCAGAUAGGAAUCACAUAAUUUCCAAUCAAUAGAUCUCAGGACUUGGCAGAGAAAUCGACAUGGAGUCCAUUGCAUCCACCGGAAUAUACCACUACAAAAGGAGAAGCGAUCAGAAAUGGAGAUAGUAACUACAACAGAGAAAUGAAGAGGAAGUAACACUUACUUUUGCGAACUGCGAACAAAGAGGGGGAAGAAGAGCAGGAGAUAAACAUAGAUAACCCACAACAUAAGGAUAAGGAAGGAGACCUGAAAACUCCUGUGAAGAGCAUAUUGAAGAAAGAGGCGGUGGAGACAGUGAGGAAGCAAUUAGGAAACUCUACCCUUCGGGCAUCUUUUACACUACGCCUUUUCCAUGUGAAUUGGACCCAUUAAUUCAUGCUUUUGUUUUCAUUUGGGCCUAUUAUUUCAGGUCUUUGUUUGUAAAUACUUUGAUUUACUGAAAUAAAGGAGCUUUUAGCUUCACCUAUUAAUUUUUUUUUUUAAAAAAAAAGGCAAC
This 850-nucleotide long non-coding RNA is filed under the name Solanum tuberosum (potato). RNAcentral's name for it is "long non-coding RNA (STUB_LNC006301)". Lineage: Eukaryota; Viridiplantae; Streptophyta; Magnoliopsida; Solanales; Solanaceae. The record is from RNAcentral.